AAAUUGAAGAGUUUGAUCAUGGCUCAGAUUGAACGCUGGCGGCAGGCCUAACACAUGCAAGUCGAACGGUAACAGGAAGAAGCUUGCUUCUUUGCUGACGAGUGGCGGACGGGUGAGUAAUGUCUGGGAAACUGCCUGAUGGAGGGGGAUAACGUACUGGAAACGGUAGCUAAUACCGAC
RNAcentral lists this ribosomal RNA (180 nucleotides) under Escherichia coli O55:H7 str. USDA 5905. RNAcentral's name for it is "partial 16S ribosomal RNA". It matches the Rfam family "Bacterial small subunit ribosomal RNA", at positions 1 to 173 of the family's 1533-position model. The record is from RNAcentral. Lineage: Bacteria; Pseudomonadati; Pseudomonadota; Gammaproteobacteria; Enterobacterales; Enterobacteriaceae.